RNAcentral lists this ribosomal RNA (492 nucleotides) under uncultured bacterium. RNAcentral describes it as "partial 16S ribosomal RNA". It matches the Rfam family "Bacterial small subunit ribosomal RNA", at positions 29 to 507 of the family's 1533-position model. The record is from RNAcentral.
AGUGAACGCUGGCGGUAGGCCUAACACAUGCAAGUCGAACGGCAGCACAGUAAGAGCUUGCUCUUACGGGUGGCGAGUGGCGGACGGGUGAGGAAUACAUCGGAAUCUACUUUUUCGUGGGGGAUAACGUAGGGAAACUUACGCUAAUACCGCAUACGACCUACGGGUGAAAGCAGGGGAUCUUCGGACCUUGCGCGAUUGAAUGAGCCGAUGUCGGAUUAGCUAGUUGGCGGGGUAAAGGCCCACCAAGGCGACGAUCCGUAGCUGGUCUGAGAGGAUGAGCCGCCACACUGGAACUGAGACACGGUCCUGACUCCUACGGGAGGCAGCAGUGGGGCAUUUUCCGCAAUGGGCGCAAGCCUGAUGGAGCGACGCCGCGUGAGUGAUGAAGGACUUCGGGUCGUAAAACGCUGUUGUUAGGGAAGAAAAUCCGUAUAAGAAAACGUGCGGAUCGUGACGGUACCUUAGGAGAAAGCAACGGCUAACUACGUG